RNAcentral lists this ribosomal RNA (636 nucleotides) under Triticum aestivum (bread wheat). RNAcentral's name for it is "partial small subunit ribosomal RNA". Lineage: Eukaryota; Viridiplantae; Streptophyta; Magnoliopsida; Poales; Poaceae. The record is from RNAcentral.
AUGGACUUCCCUAAAUUUGAUGGAACAAAUCCACAAGAGUGGUUGAGAACUACAGAGAAGUACUUUGCUAUGGUAUAUGUACCUGAGGACGCUAAAUUGGACUAUGCUCAAAUGUAUAUCACUGGAAAAGCGGAUACAUGGCUGAGAAAUUCUGGGGUGCUGGAAGAAAAUCUCAAUUGGCAACAGCUUUGCCAGGUCUUAUGCAAAAGAUUCCAGGAAAAUAGCUCUUAUGAAGCUGCGGAGGAGUUUAAUUCCCCGAGACAAGGCUCCAAUAAAAUGGCAGCUUAUAAAAAGGAAAACCCAGAUGUCAAAGAGGGCUAUUACAUCAAAUGUUACAUAAAUGGGCUGAGAGGAGAAAUUAAGCACUAUUUGAAAUCAUUCAAACCCACUUCUCUUUAUGAAGCAGUGGAAAGUGCAAGAGAUAUGGAGCAAGGAGCUUCUGCCCAAACUAGAAGAUACAACUCCCAAAACACCUUCCAGAAAACCUCUACAACUACUUCCUACUAGAACAAAUACAGACCACCUGAAUUCCCAACUACUAAACCAGGAGACGAACUUGCUCACAAACCAGAGAGUAAGUUUAAAGAACCAGGACAAUGCAGGUACUAUGGACAAAAAUGGUUUCUGGGCCAUAAA